Molecule: long non-coding RNA, 612 nt
Organism: Oncorhynchus tshawytscha (Chinook salmon)
Lineage: Eukaryota; Metazoa; Chordata; Actinopteri; Salmoniformes; Salmonidae
Exons: 3
Source: RefSeq, a predicted model, not a curated record
ACACACACUGCUGUAGGUUACACACACACACACACACACACACACGCCAAGUCAACUGUAGUUUCAAUCCUUCAGUUUUCUGUGUACUAAUGACUGUUUUCACUUUAAGUUGGAGGCUCCAGACUUCUCCCUGGCGGAGGAGACCAUCAGAGACAUGGAGGAGUAUGGACAGAUGUGGUCUCUGUAUGAGGACUGGCAGGAGGGCUUCCAGGAGAAGGCCAAUGAGGACUAGAUCACAUUCAGGAGUAAGACCUAUGUGUUUGAGGAGUUCCUGUUUACGUGACAGGAAAGAAUGAGGAAGCUUGAGCAGCACACCAGUUUGUCUGUCAAAGUACAGGGAGAAGUUGACAAGGUGAGCCUGUGGGAGGUGCGUCUGUCUGAUCUAGAUGAGUACCUGGUCAGUCUGAAUGCCAUCCAGAGGCGCUGGGUCUACCUGGAGCCCGUGUUCGGACAGGGAGCUCUGCCCAGGGAACAAGCCCGUUUGAAAUAAAUCGACGAGGACUUCAGGCACACCUGUCCCUGUGUACGGUUCUCUUUUUUCUGGUCCAUUGUCCGUGUGUGUGUGUGUGUGUGUGUGUGUGUGUGUGUGUGAGCGUGUGUGUGUGUGUGUGA